Molecule: ribosomal RNA, 434 nt
Filed under: uncultured bacterium
Lineage: Bacteria
Description: partial 16S ribosomal RNA
Rfam family: Bacterial small subunit ribosomal RNA
Source: RNAcentral
AGCGAACGCUGGCGGCAGGCCUAACACAUGCAAGUCGAACGAACCUUUCGGGGUUAGUGGCGGUCGGGGGGGUAACACGUGGUAACGAGCCCGUAGGUAAGGAAUAACUCAGGGUAAGUUGUGCUAAUACCGAUUGUGCUCUUCGGGGGUAUGAGUUAUCGCUGUUUGGGGGGCGCUGGUCUGAUUAGCUAGUUGGGUGUGGUAAUGGCACACCAAUGCGUCGUUGAGUGGCUGGGCUGUGAGGAUGAUUCGUCACAUUGGGACUGUGACACGGCCCAAACUCCUACGGGAGGCAGGAGUGGGGAAUCUUGCGCAAUGGGCGAAAGCCUGACGCAGCCAUGCCGCGUGAAUGAUGAAGGGCUUAGGAUUGUAAAAUUCUUUGACCGGAGACGUUAAUGACGGUAAUCGGAGAAGAAGCCCCGGCUAACUUCGUG